Molecule: transfer RNA, 72 nt
Filed under: Bos taurus (domestic cattle)
Lineage: Eukaryota; Metazoa; Chordata; Mammalia; Artiodactyla; Bovidae
Also listed under: 1 other name
Rfam family: tRNA
About the family: Transfer RNA (tRNA) molecules are approximately 80 nucleotides in length. Their secondary structure includes four short double-helical elements and three loops (D, anti-codon, and T loops).
Source: Rfam by way of RNAcentral
UUCCUGGUGGCUUAGAUGGGAAAGAAUCUGUCUUCAAUUCAGGAGACCCAGGUUCAAUCCCUGGGUUGGGAA